This 70-nucleotide transfer RNA is filed under the name Dipodomys ordii (Ord's kangaroo rat). It matches the Rfam family "tRNA". From Rfam's summary of the family: Transfer RNA (tRNA) molecules are approximately 80 nucleotides in length. Their secondary structure includes four short double-helical elements and three loops (D, anti-codon, and T loops). Lineage: Eukaryota; Metazoa; Chordata; Mammalia; Rodentia; Heteromyidae. The record is from Rfam by way of RNAcentral.
GGUAUUGUGGCUCAGCAGUAGAGCGCUUGCCUUGUGUGCAUGAGGCCUUGGAUCUGAUUUCUCAGCACCA